GGAGCUUGCUCCUGAGAUUCGAGCGGCGGACGGGUGAGUAACACGUAGGCAACCUACCCUUGAGAUUGGGAUAACUACCGGAAACGGUAGCUAAUACCGGAUACGACAUUCCUGCAUAAGUAAGAAUGUUAAAAGGCGGAUUUAUCUGCCGCUCAUGGAUGGGCCUGCGGUGCAUUAGCUAGUUGGUGAGAUAGUAGCUCACCAAGGCGACGAUGCAUAGCCGACCUGAGAGGGUGAUCGGCCACACUGGGACUGAGACACGGCCCAGACUCCUACGGGAGGCAGCAGUAGGGAAUCUUCCGCAAUGGACGCAAGUCUGACGGAGCAACGCCGCGUGAGUGAUGAAGGGUUUCGGCUCGUAAAACUCUGUUGUUAAGGAAGAACACUUGAGGUAGUAACUGGCCUUGAGAUGACGGUACUUAACCAGAAAGCCACGGCUAACUACGUGCCAGCAGCCGCGGUAAUACGUAGGUGGCAAGCGUUAUCCGGAAUUAUUGGGCGUAAAGCGCGCGUAGGCGGUAAAAUAAGUCUGAUGUGAAAGCCCCCGGCUCAACCGGGGAGGGUCAUUGGAAACUGUUUUACUUGAGUACAGAAGAGGAGAGUGGAAUUCCAUGUGUAGCGGUGAAAUGCGCAGAGAUAUGGAGGAACACCAGUGGCGAAGGCGGCUCUCUGGUCUGUAACUGACGCUGA
RNAcentral lists this ribosomal RNA (690 nucleotides) under Jeotgalicoccus sp. RNAcentral describes it as "bacterial SSU rRNA". It matches the Rfam family "Bacterial small subunit ribosomal RNA", at positions 75 to 749 of the family's 1533-position model. The record is from RNAcentral. Lineage: Bacteria; Bacillati; Bacillota; Bacilli; Caryophanales; Staphylococcaceae.